GACAGAGGGUGCAAACGUUGUUCGGAAUUACUGGGCGUAAAGCGUGUGUAGGCGGUCCACUAAGUCGGGUGUGAAAGCCCUGGGCUCAACCCAGGAAGUGCACUCGAAACUGGCGGGCUGGAGUAUCGGAGAGGUUGGUGGAAUUCUCGGUGUAGAGGUGAAAUUCGUAGAUAUCGAGAGGAACACCGGUGGCGAAGGCGGCCAACUGGACGAAUACUGACGCUGAGACACGAAAGCGUGGGGAGCAAACAGG
Molecule: ribosomal RNA, 253 nt
Filed under: uncultured bacterium
Lineage: Bacteria
Description: partial 16S ribosomal RNA
Rfam family: Bacterial small subunit ribosomal RNA
Source: RNAcentral